Non-coding RNA from Cajanus cajan (pigeon pea), 215 nucleotides. The record is from RefSeq and is a predicted model, not a curated record. NCBI's taxonomy places the organism in Eukaryota, Viridiplantae, Streptophyta, Magnoliopsida, Fabales, Fabaceae.
UUCUUCCCGGAGCUCGGAUUUCUUCACCGAGAGCAGGGUUAGGUUGGUGGUCUUGAGGCAAGUCUGUAGCUGGCAGAUGGAGUUAUUCUUUUGUUGUGUUUAACUACUUGGAGUAGCAUUGCUGGAUGUAUUUUAUAUACUCUGAUUUUUUUAAGCCCCAGAUUUAACCUUGUGUAUAUAUUUUAGCCGCUUAUAUAUAUAUGCAUGUUCUUGUC